Molecule: ribosomal RNA, 301 nt
Filed under: uncultured bacterium
Lineage: Bacteria
Description: partial 16S ribosomal RNA
Rfam family: Bacterial small subunit ribosomal RNA
Source: RNAcentral
CAGUCGCCGCGGUAAUACGAAGGGGGCUAGCGUUGCUCGGAAUGACUGGGCGUAAAGGGCGCGUAGGCGGAUUGUUUAGUUAGGCGUGAAAUUCCUGGGCUUAACCUGGGGACUGCGCUUAAUACAGGCAGUCUAGAGUGAGGAAGAGGGUUGUGGAAUUCCCAGUGUAGAGGUGAAAUUCGUAGAUAUUCGCAAGAACACCAGUGGCGAAGGCGGCUCACUGGCCCGAUACUGACGCUGAGGCACGAAAGCGUGGGGAGCAAACAGGAUUAGAGACCCGCGUAGUCCCUGUCUCUUAUAC